RNAcentral lists this ribosomal RNA (501 nucleotides) under uncultured bacterium. RNAcentral's name for it is "bacterial SSU rRNA". It matches the Rfam family "Bacterial small subunit ribosomal RNA", at positions 338 to 837 of the family's 1533-position model. The record is from RNAcentral.
CCUACGGGAGGCAGCAGUAAGGAAUAUUGGUCAAUGGAGGCAACUCUGAACCAGCCAUGCCGCGUGCAGGAAGACUGCCCUAUGGGUUGUAAACUGCUUUUAUCCGGGAAUAAACCUACUUACGUGUAAGUAGCUGAAUGUACCGGAAGAAUAAGGAUCGGCUAACUCCGUGCCAGCAGCCGCGGUAAUACGGAGGAUCCAAGCGUUAUCCGGAUUUAUUGGGUUUAAAGGGUGCGUAGGCGGCCUGUUAAGUCAGGGGUGAAAGACGGUAGCUCAACUAUCGCAGUGCCCUUGAUACUGAUGGGCUUGAAUGGACUAGAGGUAGGCGGAAUGAGACAAGUAGCGGUGAAAUGCAUAGAUAUGUCUCAGAACACCGAUUGCGAAGGCAGCUUACUAUGGUCUUAUUGACGCUGAGGCACGAAAGCGUGGGGAUCAAACAGGAUUAGAUACCCUGGUAGUCCACGACCUAACGAUAGACACUCGCUGUUGUCGAUACACAGU